This 217-nucleotide ribosomal RNA is filed under the name uncultured archaeon. RNAcentral's name for it is "partial 16S ribosomal RNA". It matches the Rfam family "Archaeal small subunit ribosomal RNA", at positions 507 to 724 of the family's 1478-position model. The record is from RNAcentral.
GGGCUAAAGCGUCGUAGCUGGCUGCGCAAGAUCGUCGGGAAAUCCACUCGCCCAACGAGUGGGCGUCCGACGGAAACUGCACAGCUUGGGACCGGAAGGCUCGAAGGGUACGUUCGGGGUAGGAGUGAAAUCCUAUAAUCCCGCACGGACCACCGAUGGCGAAAGCACUUCGAGAAAACGGAUCCGACAGUGAGGGACGAAAGCCAGGGUCUCCAAC